Molecule: long non-coding RNA, 1075 nt
Organism: Canis lupus familiaris (dog)
Lineage: Eukaryota; Metazoa; Chordata; Mammalia; Carnivora; Canidae
Exons: 3
Source: RefSeq, a predicted model, not a curated record
GCUGCCGUCCCGGAGGCCCCGGAGCGGGCGGGACCCCACUUCCCGCCCCGGAACCCGCAGGGCUCACCCCGCCUCCUCUCGGGAGCUCCACCCGCCGCCUGAGUCGCUCCCGCGCUCGUUGCCUUCUUUGGCUACAGGGUCGCCCCUCCCCUCCGGUUCUGAGAUGGACCCGGACCCUCGGAGGGAGGGACUGGGAGAGCAGCGGGAAGAGGAGGCUCAGAGGGAGUAGUGCGGCAUCUCUCUCCGGAACGACACUCAGAACGGCAGGUGGCUUCUACUCCAGUUUGGGCCACGUCCACGGUGCGGCGCUCCCUAGGCCAUACUUUCUCCAUCCAUGCAGGGCACGGGAGAGCUGCCCACUGGAUUUUGCAGGAUGCAGCCACUGUCCUGCAAACUGGAUCCCUCCCAAGUUCCAUGAGUUUCACCUUUGCCUUCAACGACUGCCCCAUUUCUAGAAAAACUCCUGGGAUAUAUGAUUGAUAUAUCUUGCUUCCGGUUUCGUUUCCCUUGUUCUCUCCUGAACCCACCUAAUCAGACUUUUUACACUCAUCAGGUCAGCUGAAACUGCUCUUGUCAAAAUUACGAAUGAUCUUCGUUUCGCUAAAUCUAAUGGUUGACUUUAAAUUCUCACUCUACUUAUUAGCAGCACUUGACACGAUCAUUACUUUCUGUGACAUCCUACUGUCUUUUUAAAAAAUAUUUUAUUUAUUCAUGAGAGAUAGAGAGGCAGAGACACAGGCAGAGGGAGAAGCAGGCUCCACGCAGGGAGCCCGACGUGGGAUGUAAUUCCGGGAAUCCAGGACCACACACUGGGCCAAAGGUGGCCCUAAACCGCUGAGCCACCCAGGCUGUCCAGUCUGACUGGAACAGGAAAGAAACUACAAAGGACCCUAAGUCAAGGGACAACAUUGAAAUUGGAAAAUGGAUGGCAGAGGGAGAGAAUGAAAAAGCAAAUGAGGAGCUUUGGGGACCCUUGAGCACAUCCAGACCUCAGGUUUCAAACCUCUGCUCUAUCAGAAAAACCCCAAACAUGGAGAAAUCUACAGGAUAACUGAUUGUCUUCAACAAUCAAUGG